Molecule: ribosomal RNA, 253 nt
Filed under: uncultured bacterium
Lineage: Bacteria
Description: partial 16S ribosomal RNA
Rfam family: Bacterial small subunit ribosomal RNA
Source: RNAcentral
UACGUAGGGGGCAAGCGUUGUCCGGAAUCAUUGGGCGUAAAGCGCGUGUAGGCGGCCCGGUAAGUCCGCUGUGAAAGUCGGGGGCUCAACCCUCGAAUGCCGGUGGAUACUGUCGGGCUAGAGUGCGGGAGAGGCGAGUGGAAUUCCUGGUGUAGCGGUGAAAUGCGCAGAUAUCAGGAGGAACACCAAUUGCGAAGGCAGCUCGCUGGAACGUAACUGACGCUGAGACGCGAAAGCGUGGGGAGCAAACAGG